GACGAACGCUGGCGGCGUGCUUAACACAUGCAAGUCGAACGGAAAGGCCCUGCUUGCCGGGUACUCGAGUGGCGAACGGGUGAGUAACACGUGGGUGAUCUGCCCUGCACUUCGGGAUAAGCUUGGGAAACUGGGUCUAAUACCGGAUAGGAGCCAUCUUUAGUGUGGUGGUUGGAAAGUUUUUUCGGUGUAGGAUGAGCUCGCGGCCUAUCAGCUUGUUGGUGGGGUAAUGGCCUACCAAGGCGGCGACGGGUAGCCGGCCUGAGAGGGUGUACGGCCACAUUGGGACUGAGAUACGGCCCAGACGCCUACGGGAGGCAGCAGUGGGGAAUAUUGCACAAUGGGCGCAAGCCUGAUGCAGCGACGCCGCGUGGGGGAUGAAGGCCUUCGGGUUGUAAACGCCUUUCGCUAGGGACGAAGCUUUUUGUGACGGUACCUAGAGAAGAAGCACCGGCUAACUACGUG
This 465-nucleotide ribosomal RNA is filed under the name uncultured bacterium. Its description in RNAcentral is "partial 16S ribosomal RNA". It matches the Rfam family "Bacterial small subunit ribosomal RNA", at positions 28 to 507 of the family's 1533-position model. The record is from RNAcentral.